AAAAAAAAUUAGGUUGUUAAUAAUAAAUUUUGAUGAGUGUGAUCAUGGCUCGAGAUUAACGCUAAUCAGACGCCUAACACAUGCAAGUUUUAUAUAAAUUAAUUUAAAUUUAAUUAAUUUAUAUAGCGUCAUGGUGAGUAAUAUAUGUUUUAUUACCUAUAAGUAUAUUUAAAAAAUAUAUAUAAAAUAGAUAAAAUGCUA
Molecule: ribosomal RNA, 201 nt
Filed under: Tetrahymena paravorax
Lineage: Eukaryota; Ciliophora; Oligohymenophorea; Hymenostomatida; Tetrahymenidae
Description: small subunit ribosomal RNA
Source: RNAcentral